UACGUAGGGUGCAAGCGUUAAUCGGAAUUACUGGGCAUAAAGCGUGCGCAGGCGGUUGUGCAAGACAGAUGUGAAAUCCCCGGGCUCAACCUGGGAACUGCAUUUGUGACUGCACGGCUGGAGUGCGGCAGAGGGGGAUGGAAUUCCGCGUGUAGCAGUGAAAUGCGUAGAUAUGCGGAGGAACACCGAUGGCGAAGGCAAUCCCCUGGACCUGUACUGACGCUCAUGCACGAAAGCGUGGGGAGCAAACAGG
This 253-nucleotide ribosomal RNA is filed under the name uncultured bacterium. Its description in RNAcentral is "partial 16S ribosomal RNA". It matches the Rfam family "Bacterial small subunit ribosomal RNA", at positions 524 to 776 of the family's 1533-position model. The record is from RNAcentral.